UAGGGAAUCUUCCACAAUGGACGCAAGUCUGAUGGAGCAACGCCGCGUGAGUGAAGAAGGUUUUCGGACCGUAAAGCUCUGUUGUUGGUGAAGAAGGAUAGAGGUAGUAACUGGCCUUUAUUUGACGGUAAUCAACCAGAAAGUCACGGCUAACUACGUGCCAGCAGCCGCGGUAAUACGUAGGUGGCAAGCGUUGUCCGGAUUUAUUGGGCGUAAAGCGAGCGCAGGCGGAAGAAUAAGUCUGAUGUGAAAGCCCUCGGCUUAACCGAGGAAUUGCAUCGGAAACUGUUUUCUUGAGUGCAGAAGAGGAGAGUAGAACUCCAUGUGUAGCGGUGGAAUGCGUAGAUAUAUGGAAGAAUACCAGUGGCGAAGGCGGCUCUCUGGUCUGCAACUGACGCUGAGGCUCGAAAAGCAUGGGUAGCGAACAGGAUUAGAUACCCUGGUAGUCCAUGCCGUAAAACGAUGAGUGCUAAGUGUUGGGAGGCUUCCGCCUCUCAGUGCUGCAGCUAACGCAUUAAGCACUCCGCCUGGGGGAGUACGACCGCAAA
Molecule: ribosomal RNA, 548 nt
Filed under: uncultured bacterium
Lineage: Bacteria
Description: partial 16S ribosomal RNA
Rfam family: Bacterial small subunit ribosomal RNA
Source: RNAcentral